UGAGGAAUAUUGGUCAAUGGACGCAAGUCUGAACCAGCCAAGUAGCGUGCAGGAUGACGGCCCUAUGGGUUGUAAACUGCUUUUAUAUGGGGAUAAAGUGGGGAACGUGUUCCCUUUUGCAGGUACCAUAUGAAUAAGGACCGGCUAAUUCCGUGCCAGCAGCCGCGGUAAUACGGAAGGUUCGGGCGUUAUUCGGUUUUAUUGGGUUUAACGGGAGCGUAGGCCGUUUGGUAAGCAUGUUGUGAAAUGUAGGAGCUCAACUUCUAGAUUGCAGCGCGAACUGUCAGACUUGAGUGCGCACAACGUAGGCGGAAUUCAUGGUGUAGCGGUGGAAUGCUUAGAUGUCAUGAAGAACUCCGAUUGCGAAGGCAGCUUACAGGAGCGCAACUGACGCUGAAGAUCGAAGGUGCGGGUAUCGAACAGG
This 424-nucleotide ribosomal RNA is filed under the name Verrucomicrobiota bacterium. Its description in RNAcentral is "Verrucomicrobia bacterium partial 16S ribosomal RNA". It matches the Rfam family "Bacterial small subunit ribosomal RNA", at positions 355 to 776 of the family's 1533-position model. The record is from RNAcentral. Lineage: Bacteria; Pseudomonadati; Verrucomicrobiota.